Molecule: ribosomal RNA, 448 nt
Filed under: uncultured bacterium
Lineage: Bacteria
Description: partial 16S ribosomal RNA
Rfam family: Bacterial small subunit ribosomal RNA
Source: RNAcentral
AACGAACGCUCUCGGUAUGCUUAACACAUGCAAGUCGGACGGACUAAUUAGGGCUUGCUCCAAUUAGUUAGUGGCAGACGGGUGAGUAACACGUGGGAAUCUGCCCAUCAGUACGGAAUAACUUUUAGAAAUAAAAGCUAAUACCGUAUAUUCUCUACAGAGGAAAGAUUUAUCGCUGAUGGAUGAGCCCGCGUCAGAUUAGGUAGUUGGUGAGGUAACGGCUCACCAAGCCGACGAUCUGUAGCUGGUCUGAGAGGAUGAUCAGCCACACUGGGACUGAGACACGGCCCAGACUCCUACGGGAGGCAGCAGUGGGGAAUAUUGGACAAUGGGCGAAAGCCUGAUCCAGCAAUACCGAGUGAGUGAUAAAGGCCCUAGGGUUGUAAAGCUCUUUUAGCAAGGAAGAUAAUGACGUUACUUGCAGAAAAAGCCCCGGCUAACUCCGUGC